This 606-nucleotide ribosomal RNA is filed under the name Klebsiella aerogenes. RNAcentral describes it as "bacterial SSU rRNA". It matches the Rfam family "Bacterial small subunit ribosomal RNA", at positions 550 to 1157 of the family's 1533-position model. Lineage: Bacteria; Pseudomonadati; Pseudomonadota; Gammaproteobacteria; Enterobacterales; Enterobacteriaceae. The record is from RNAcentral.
AUUACUGGGCGUAAGCGCACGCAGGCGGUCUGUCAAGUCGGAUGUGAAAUCCCCGGGCUCAACCUGGGAACUGCAUUCGAAACUGGCAGGCUAGAGUCUUGUAGAGGGGGGUAGAAUUCCAGGUGUAGCGGUGAAAUGCGUAGAGAUCUGGAGGAAUACCGGUGGCGAAGGCGGCCCCCUGGACAAAGACUGACGCUCAGGUGCGAAAGCGUGGGGAGCAAACAGGAUUAGAUACCCUGGUAGUCCACGCCGUAAACGAUGUCGACUUGGAGGUUGUGCCCUUGAGGCGUGGCUUCCGGAGCUAACGCGUUAAGUCGACCGCCUGGGGAGUACGGCCGCAAGGUUAAAACUCAAAUGAAUUGACGGGGGCCCGCACAAGCGGUGGAGCAUGUGGUUUAAUUCGAUGCAACGCGAAGAACCUUACCUACUCUUGACAUCCAGAGAACUUUCCAGAGAUGGAUUGGUGCCUUCGGGAACUCUGAGACAGGUGCUGCAUGGCUGUCGUCAGCUCGUGUUGUGAAAUGUUGGGUUAAGUCCCGCAACGAGCGCAACCCUUAUCCUUUGUUGCCAGCGGUUAGGCCGGGAACUCAAAGGAGACUGCCAGUG